CAGCUUGUAGUUCAGUGGUAGAAUACUCGCUUAAACUUGCGAGAGAUCCAGGGUUCGAUUCCUUGCAAGCCUA
Molecule: transfer RNA, 73 nt
Filed under: Hypoxylon rubiginosum
Lineage: Eukaryota; Fungi; Ascomycota; Sordariomycetes; Xylariales; Hypoxylaceae
Description: tRNA-OTHER
Rfam family: tRNA
About the family: Transfer RNA (tRNA) molecules are approximately 80 nucleotides in length. Their secondary structure includes four short double-helical elements and three loops (D, anti-codon, and T loops). Further hydrogen bonds mediate the characteristic L-shaped molecular structure. tRNAs have two regions of fundamental functional importance: the anti-codon, which is responsible for specific mRNA codon recognition, and the 3' end, to which the tRNAs corresponding amino acid is attached (by aminoacyl-tRNA synthetases). tRNAs cope with the degeneracy of the genetic code in two manners: having more than one tRNA (with a specific anti-codon) for a particular amino acid; and 'wobble' base-pairing, i.e. permitting non-standard base-pairing at the 3rd anti-codon position.
Source: RNAcentral